CCCUGAGUCCACGGCUGCGGGCCCACGGACGCCCGCGAGGCUCGGGGCGGGGCGGGGCGGCUUGCCCUUCCUCCAGCGCUUAGCUGCGAAGGGCCAAGCCCGCGGAGCGGUGUGGCUGGCAGCAGUAACUUGCAAAGUUUUGAAUUUUCUUUUUCCUCUUCAUGUUUACAUUUGAUCUCAGGAAGCUGGUUAAGGUUUGCAGUUGGGCCUGGUCAUCUGCCCCGACUCUAACGCGUGCAGGCUUCUGGUGAGGCCCGUGCACCGCGGUCUCCCCCGGGGCUCAGAGAUGCCCUCCUCGAAAUGCAGCGCUGGGCUCUGCAGCCCUUCCCUUUCAGACACCAGUGCCCAGCCUGAGCGCUCGCCCUUCCUCCCGGGCGUUUACCGGAGGUCUGGGUGCAGAGCGGGAACCGGACCACCGUCCCGGGCCAGAUGAGUAAAUACUCUGGCCGGGUGCCCCGUACGAGAGCUUGUGAAAGCGAGUGGACCAGAAAUAGCUCAGGGUAGAAAGCUCCCAGCGGCGACGUAGGGAGAAUGAGGCGCGAGCCAACUUGGUGGCCAGAAACGCACUUUUCCCUGGCUGGAGAAAGCUCCGAAAAGUAACAAGGUCUGCACGGGUGCUGGGGACGUAGCUCAGUUGGUAAGAGUGUUUGCUUACCAAGCUCAAAGCUCUGGGUCCCGGCACUCAGAGAGGUGGAGGCAGGAAGAAUCAGAUGUCAUUGACCUUACGUCCAGAGUUCAAGCCAGCCUAGGCUACCCGAGAUACAGUCCCAGAAAACAGAAAGAAAAAUAAAUAAAUAAAUAAAUAACAUGAUAUAGGAAACAAUAUUCCUAGGCUCUGCUCCUGAGACUGGGGUCACUUUCCGUGGAGGUGACAAAAGAGUGUGGGCUCGACAAGCCUGUAUUCUCAUUUGACCCUCUCAUAAUUAGACAUGUUAACAUUUUUAAGGUUUGUUUGUCUAUUUAUUUAUUGAGGCAGAGUCUCUCUACAUAGCCCUGACUGUCCUGGGACUCACUGUUUAGACCAGGCUGGCCUGGAACUCACAGAGAUCCACCAGUCCCUCCCUCUCAAGUGCUGAGAUUAAAGGCGUGUGUCACCAUGUGCCCAAGGCUUUAUUUUUACGAGUGAGUGUUUUGCCUCCAUGUAUGUGUGUGCACCAUGUGCAUGCCUGGUGCCUGGGGAGGGCACAGACCGAAUUGGAUCCCUUGGAACCGGAGUUACGGAAAGUUGGACAGGGCUGUGAGGGUGUCCAGUGCUCUUAAACAUGGAGUCAUUUCUCCUGCCCCGUGAUUAGACAUGUUCACAUGUGUAAGACAGAAUGGAGUGUAAGUGCUACAAACAUGUCAGGGAAGAUUUACUUCACAAGGUUAGGAUUUCUGUUCCACUUUUUUGUGUUUGUUUUGAGACGGUCUGACAUCACCCAAUCUUGUCUGAACUCCCGAACCUCCUGCCUCUGCCUCUGGGUGCUGGAAGGCCUGAGCUGUGCCCCCACGUCCAACAUCCCCUUGUUUGACAUUUUUGGAGGAUUAAGAGGUGUGAAAAGAUGGAAGAGGGAGAAGGAAUACAUUAAUCAUAAAUAGUUACAAGACAAUUUAGAAAAAGGCCACAUUUUAGAUGGCUUGUUAGCUCAUAACUUGUACUGACGUUGGUUUUUUUCCAAGUGUUAGGAAUAGAUCUCAGAACCUCACCAACAUUAUAGCCGUGUGUCACCGUACUCACUUUAUUCUAAUGUUAGUUUCAAUAUAAUUCAAAUAUAUACAUCCAAAGGAAAAAGGGUAUAUUAAAAAUCCAAUCGAGAGAUUGAGGAUUUAGCUCUGUGUACAGGGGAGGUGGGCGUUAGGAGAGCGGCUCUCUUGGACUGGGAACAUAGCUCCAUUGAUAGUGUUCCCCGGCAUUCACAAGGUCCUGGAUUAAGUGCCAGUGCCAGACAAAGUGGGCGUGGCCGCACACACGGACACCCUCGCAUUCGGGAGGUGGAGCCAGAAUCAGACGUUCAGAGUCAGCCUGGCUGUGUCGUCUGGGUCCAACCUGAAGCGCACGAAGACCUCGUCUUACACCAGUGAAGCAGACACGGUACCUUCAUGGAAGAACAAACAGGUAUCAGAGAGUCUAUCUCCAAAACAAGAGAAUAAAGGGCUUAGGUAGAGCUUAGCGGUAGAGCAGUGGUCUACAGUGGUGCAGGUUUUAGGGUCAGUCUCCAUCACAUUCAAAAAAGAAAGACUUGUUUUGAGGCAAGGUCUCUCAGGAAGCCCACCCUGUGCUCUUAGAUACGUAUCCUGUGUGACUUCUUUUGUUUUCUGUUUGUUUUAAAUGGUCUCACUGGCUGGUCUGGAACUCACAGGGACCCCUGAAAGGAAAGAAGUCUUGAUGGGUGCACAGUAGCACAUCAUUUCAGAAGCUCAAGUAGCUGCUGGUUCACCUCACACACUAGCUGAUGUGUGGAGAUGGACAAUAGCUUAGGUGGGAGACCACUCAUUUUCUGAGUCAACAGAAAGACAAAAGUUAGCAAAGAUAAGUGUUCUGGCUACUUUCUAUGUUAACCUGACACAAAUUAGAGUCAUCGGAGAGGAGGGAACUGCACCUGAGAAAAUGCCUCCAUGCGAUGGGCUGUGUGUGGGCAAGGCUGUCGGGCAUUUUCUUAAUUAUUGAUUAGUAGGAGAGGGCCCAGCCCAUUGUGGGUGGUCCCAUCCCUGGGCUGGUGGUCCUGGGUUCUAUAAGAAAGCAGGCUGAACAAGCCAAGGGGAGCAAGCCAGUAAGCAGCACUCCUCCAAGGCCUCUGCAUCAGCUCCUGCCUCCCUCCUGCCUCCGGGUUCCUGCCCUGCUUGAGUUCCUGCCCUGACUUCCCUCAGUGACGGGACUGAUACCUGGAAAUGUAAGCAAAACAAACUCUUUCAUCUCCAAGCUGCUUUUCGUCGUGGUGUUUCAUCACAGUAGUAAAAAGCCUAAGACAGGAACUGUUACCAGGAUUGUGGGCUAGAUCCCUGACAGACCUGACUGGUAGUGUAUGUUUGCUGUUGGUAGACCGUGGUGACAUUUGGGCACUGGGCUAGAAGAGCACUGAGUGCUCAGAACUCAGUAGGCUGUUCUGCGGGAUCUUGAAGGACACAAAUAUCAAGGGCAGUGCAGAACUCAAGCCUGGCUUGUGAAGUUCAGAGGGAAGCAAAGACUGCCGGCCUCUUGUGUGAAGAAUCUGCUGUCUGGUCAGCAGGAGCUGAAGGAUCAGCUGUGAUUAACAAGAGGCCGGCACCACUAAAGGAAAAUCUUUGUUUUUCUGGGAAGUUGAUGCUGGUCAGCUGGGGCUGAAGAACCAGCUGUGAUUUAUUGAGGUAAAACGUGUUUCCUCAGAGUUAGCACACAGAAGCUGUGUUCCAGAGGCAGCCAAGGUUGAGCCUCAUGCUGGCCGCGAACUUGGUAGUGUAAGAGUCACCCAACUGAGACUGCUUUGAAGGCACGAAAGGGUCAUAUAAGAGCAGCUGUGGCAGGCUGGAGAAGAGAGCCCAGGAGAGGCUAUUGGUGAAAGCUCGCCCCAGUUGUAGCAGAAGACCCCAGCACUGUGUAGGUGCCAGUGCCAGGGGAUGACCACCAAGAACAGCAGCAGUGCGGGGUGGAACCAGCCUGACCUAAAAGACAAGGAUUUCUCUGUGUAGCUUUGGAGCCUGUCCUAGAACUCAGUCUGUAGAUCAGGCUGUCCUGGAACCUAGAGAUCCAUCUAUCUUGCCUUCUGAGUGCUGGGAUUAAAGAUGUGUGCCACCACCGCCUGGUUCACGUAUGGGCAUUUUGCCCUCAGAUAUGUACAUGCACCAUGUACAUGCCUGGUGCUCAGUGUCCAAGAGGGGAGGAGAGAGCAUCGGAUCCCUUGGAACUGGAGUCAGACUGCUGUGAGCCACCAGGUAGGUAGUGGGAACCGAAGUUGGUCCUGGGCAAGAGCAGUAUUUAUUUUGAGACAGGGUCUCUUUAUAGCCCUGGCUGUCUGGAACUCUAUCAGGCUGGCCUCCUGUGUACUGGGAUUAAAAGCAUGCACCACGAUGCCUGCCAGACUUUAACUGCUUUCUGUUAAAUUUCUAGUUCCCAGCUGACUUCCUUUUACAUCUUGUUGACUAUAACUGGGUCAUAAACCAAGUCAGAGAGGGGGCUGGGAAAGCGUUAACUCCUUAGGGCUAGUGCACUGCCCACAGGAAUGCCGGAGGACUGUGUGUGGGGAAAAGGGGAAAGUCUGGCCAGAUGACCGAGUUGCCACACUCACUUAACUACUCAUAGUUUGGGUCAAUAAAGCCAUAUUCCAAGAAGGGAGUAGCCGGUCUGUCACUGUUAAAAGUGCAUUGUUUGGGGGCUGGCUAAGGCUAUAGCUCAGUGGUAGAGCAUUAGGCUGGCAUGUGUGAAGCCCUGGGUUUGCACCCUAACUACACACACACACACACACAGUGAAAACGGCUGGGCAUGCUGAAGUGUGCUUGUAAUUCCAGAACUCUGGAGGCAGAGGCAGGAGGACUGUUUAAGGCAAGCCUGGGCUGUGCAGCAAGAUGUUUCAAAACUAUUUCCUGGGGAGAUAGCUGGCUAUACAAGCAUAAGAACCUGAGUUUGGGCCGGCACAUAGGAGGCGGCAAAUCUCAAUGAGAUCGAGGGCAGCCUGGUCUACAUAGCAAGUACCAGGCCAGCCAAGGGCACAUGGUAAGAUCCUAUCUCAGAAGACAAGAGCCGAGGACCUGCAGAAUGGUUCAGUGGGUAAGGCUGACUACCUUGAUUCCUAGACCCACAAGGCAGAAGGAGAAAACUAACUCCUCCAAGUUGUCCUCUGACCUUCACAUACAUAGAGCUACCGGUACAUGUGCACAUGUACACACACACUAAAUCACUGCGAUAAAAUGAAAAGCGAAGGUGGCCGGUUGAGGGACAGCAGUUGACUUCUGACCUCCAUACACACACUCAAGCAUACCUGCAACACAUGAAUGCAUACAUACACCACAAGCCAGGUCCAGUGGCAUAGACCUGUAGUCUCAGCCACUUGGGAAGCUGAGGCAGGAGGAUCACAAGAUCAAGGCUAGUCUGGACAACUUGGGGAGACUGCCCCCCUCAAAAUUAAAAGAACUAAGGCUGUAUCUCAUCGGUAGAGCUAGCAUGCAUAAGAUCCUGGGUACAGAAAAAAACAAAACUGUUUUGAGAAAUAAGUAUAUUUAAUUCCACAACAGCUGAUUCUUCAUAUCCCUUUUAAAACAAAGAGUGAUUAUUUUUAGAUUUACUUUGUGAAUGUUUUGCCUGUAUGCAUGUGUACACCACAUGCAUGCCUGUUGGAUCCCCUGGAACUGAGGUUACAGACAGUUGUGAGCUACCAUGCGGGUGCUGGGGAUCAAACCUGGGUCCUCUGCUAACACAGCAAGUGCUUUUAACCACUGAGCCAGCUCUCCAGCCCCUCCUGAAAACUUCAUCCUCACAUUUAAGGACAACUGUGUACUGUGUUGUCUCAUGGCCGCUGUAUAAUCUAGUACUCCUCCUGUCUUUUGUAGCCUGACUUGAAGCUUGGGAAAGAGUAAGAGCCUUCCAGAAUAGAAGUGUGCCAAGUCUUCUGGUUUUCUAGAAAUUUAAUUAAAGUGGUGAAGUAGCAGCCAGGCGGUGGUGGCACACACCUUUAAUCCCAGCACUUGAGAAGCAGAGGCAGGCAGAUCUCUGAGUUUGAGGCCAGCCUGGUCUAUAAGUACCAGGACAGCCAGGGCUACAAUAAAGAAAAAAAAAAAAAAAAAAAAAAAACAGAAAAAGUGAAGUAGGUCGAGUGUUGCUGGGGGAUGUCCUUCUGUACGCUGUGAAUAUAUGUUCCCAUUGGUUAAUAAGCUGCUUUAGCCUAUGGCAAGGCAGCUUAGAGGCAGGUGGGAAAUCCAAGGAGAGAGACAGGAAAGAGAAAGGCAAGUGGGAGAGAUACCAGACCGCCAUCCUAGGAGUAACAUAUAAUGGGAUGCAGGUAAAGCCAGGGAACACAUGGUGAUACAUAGAUUAAUAGUUAUGGGUUGAGUUAAAGUAUAAGAGCUAGCUAGCAAGAGACCUGCCAUAGGUCAUACAGCUUAUAAUUAAUAUUAAGCCUCUGCAUGAUUAUAAGCAGCUGAGGGGCCAGGCAAGACUGGAGGAACACAGGACCUCAGGGCCAGGCAGUACCUGAGAAAAUUUACUACUACAGAGUGUCUUUUGAAAUCAUAUAUAACAAAACCUCUGGUUAUAUUUCUAAACAGCAGGUCUUGGGCUAUAUAUAUCUUUAGAGUUUGAGGCCAUGCUGGGCUACAGUCUGACUCUGUCUUAAUAAAAAAAAAAAAUAAUAGUAACAAAAAAACAGGCCAGUUGUAGCAGUGCACACCUGUGAUCCCAGCACUCGGAGGAAAAGAAGUUCAAGGUCAUCCUCGGCAGCCUGGGAUACAGGAGACCCUGUUUCAGUGAAGAGAAAACUCCUGCAAGAAGCUCACGCUCUCUUGACAUGAAGGAGGAGUUUGACUUCACAGAAACAUCGAGCUUUCGCCUGAGAGACCCAUCCAGCGGCAGCUCCCACUCAAACCUGGGAAGGCACUAG
Molecule: long non-coding RNA, 6545 nt
Organism: Peromyscus californicus insignis
Lineage: Eukaryota; Metazoa; Chordata; Mammalia; Rodentia; Cricetidae
Exons: 3
Source: RefSeq, a predicted model, not a curated record